AGAGUUUGAUCCUGGCUCAGAUUGAACGCUGGCGGCAGGCCUAACACAUGCAAGUCGAACGGUAGCACAGAGGAGCUUGCUCCUUGGGUGACGAGUGGCGGACGGGUGAGUAAUGUCUGGGAAACUGCCCGACAGAGGGGGAUAACUACUGGAAACGGUAGCUAAUACCGCAUAACCUCGAAAGAGCAAAGUGGGGGACCUUCGGGCCUCACGCUGUCGGAUGUGCCCAGAUGGGAUUAGCUAGUAGGUGGGGUAAUGGCUCACCUAGGCGACGAUCCCUAGCUGGUCUGAGAGGAUGACCAGCCACACUGGAACUGAGACACGGUCCAGACUCCUACGGGAGGCAGCAGUGGGGAAUAUUGCACAAUGGGCGCAAGCCUGAUGCAGCCAUGCCGCGUGUAUGAAGAAGGCCUUCGGGUUGUAAAGUACUUUCAGCGGGGAGGAAGGCGAUAAGGUUAAUAACCUUGUCGAUUGACGUUACCCGCAGAAGAAGCACCGGCUAACUCCGUGCCAGCAGCCGCGGUAAU
Molecule: ribosomal RNA, 527 nt
Filed under: uncultured endophytic bacterium
Lineage: Bacteria
Description: bacterial SSU rRNA
Rfam family: Bacterial small subunit ribosomal RNA
Source: RNAcentral